GUGAACGCUGGCGGUAGGCCUAACACAUGCAAGUCGAACGGCAGCACAGUAAGAGCUUGCUCUUACGGGUGGCGAGUGGCGGACGGGUGAGGAAUACAUCGGAAUCUACUUUUUCGUGGGGGAUAACGUAGGGAAACUUACGCUAAUACCGCAUACGACCUACGGGUGAAAGCAGGGGAUCUUCGGACCUUGCGCGAUUGAAUGAGCCGAUGUCGGAUUAGCUAGUUGGCGGGGUAAAGGCCCACCAAGGCGACGAUCCGUAGCUGGUCUGAGAGGAUGAUCAGCCACACUGGAACUGAGACACGGUCCAGACUCCUACGGGAGGCAGCAGUGGGGAAUAUUGGACAAUGGGCGCAAGCCUGAUCCAGCCAUACCGCGUGGGUGAAGAAGGCCUUCGGGUUGUAAAGCCCUUUUGUUGGGAAAGAAAAGCAGCAGGUUAAUACCCCGCGGUUCUGACGGUACCCAAAGAAUAAGCACCGGCUAACUUCGUG
This 491-nucleotide ribosomal RNA is filed under the name uncultured bacterium. RNAcentral's name for it is "partial 16S ribosomal RNA". It matches the Rfam family "Bacterial small subunit ribosomal RNA", at positions 29 to 507 of the family's 1533-position model. The record is from RNAcentral.